This 17791-nucleotide long non-coding RNA is filed under the name Vitis vinifera (wine grape). Its description in RNAcentral is "long non-coding RNA (VVIN_LNC003910)". Lineage: Eukaryota; Viridiplantae; Streptophyta; Magnoliopsida; Vitales; Vitaceae. The record is from RNAcentral.
UGGUCGUCCAUGCAGUGCUCAACGAUGCUGAGGUCAAACAAUUUACAGAUCCAUAUGUGAAGAAGUGGCUGGUCUUGCUUAAAGAGGCUGUGUAUGAUGCGGAGGACAUAUUGGAUGAGAUCGCCACAGAGGCUUUGCGACACAAGAUGGAAGCUGCGGAGUCCCAAACCAGCACAAGUCAGGUGGGUAACAUCAUGGACAUGUCUACCUGGGUUCAUGCCCCAUUUGAAAGUCAGAGCAUAGAGUCGAGGGUGGAGAAGAUCAUUGAUACACUUGAAGAUAUGGCACGAGACAGAGCCGUCCCUGGGUUGAAAGAAGGUGUUGGCGAGAAACUGUCACAAAGGUGGCCUUCUACUUCUUUGGUGGAUGAAUCUCUUGUCUAUGGCAGGGAUGAUGAAAAACAGAAGAUGAUUGAACAGGUGUUGUCUGAUAAUGCAAGGAGGGAUGAGAUAGGUGUGAUUUCCAUAGUGGGCAUGGGCGGCCUUGGCAAGACCACACUUGCUCAGCUUCUAUAUAAUGACCCAAGGGUGAUGGAACACUUCGAUUUGAAGGCAUGGGUUUGUGUUUCCGAAGAAUUUGAUCCUAUUAGAGUUACAAAAACAAUUCUGGAGGAGAUUACUUCAUCCACUUUCGAGACAAAUAACCUAAAUCAGCUUCAAGUUAAACUGAAAGAGAGAAUUAAUACGAAGAAAUUUCUACUUGUCUUGGAUGAUGUUUGGAACGAGGACUCUAGUAACUGGGCUAUACUACAAACUCCACUCAAAGGCGGGGCAAAGGGAAGCAAGAUUGUUGUAACGACCCGCAGCACCCAUGUUGCAGCAGUUAUGCGCGCUGUUUAUUCUCAUUGUCUUGGUGAACUAUCCUCUGAAGAUUCCUGGUCUCUGUUUAGAAAACACGCAUUUGAAAAUGGAGACUCGAGUGCAUAUCCACAACUAGAAGCAAUUGGUAAGAAGAUUGCGGACAAGUGCCAAGGUUUGCCACUAGCUGUAAAAGCAGUGGGGGGCCUUUUACAUUCUGAGGUUGAAGCGAGGAAAUGGGAUGAUAUACUAAACAGCCAAAUAUGGGAUUUGUCAACUGAUACAGUUCUUCCUGCAUUGAGAUUGAGUUACAAUUAUCUGCCUUCACAUCUAAAGCAAUGUUUUGCCUAUUGCUCAAUUUUUCCCAAGGACUACGAAUUGGAGAAAGAGAAGCUAAUUUUGUUAUGGAUGGCUGAAGGUCUUUUACAAGAAUCAAAAGGCAAGAGAAGAAUGGAAGAGGUAGGUGACUUGUACUUUCAUGAGCUUUUAUCGAAGUCGUUUUUUCAAAAUUCAGUUUGGCAAAAGAAGACAAACUUUGUAAUGCAUGACCUAAUUCAUGACUUGGCUCAACUGGUGUCUGGAGAAUUUUCUGUUAGUUUGGAGGAGGGUCGGGUAUGCCAAAUCUCAUAAAAGACUCGUCAUUUAUCAUAUUUUCUAGGAAAAUAUGACACCUUUGAUAGAUAUGGAACACUUUCUGAAUUUAAGUGUUUGCGAACAUUUUUAUCAUUGGAGGGUCGCUGGUUUGCCUACUUAAGUAAUAGAGUUCUACACAAUCUAUUAUCGGAAAUUAGGUGCUUGCGGGUGUUGUGUUUGCGUGACUAUAGGAUUGUUAAUCUGCCCCAUUCAAUUGGCAAGUUACAACAUUUGCGCUACUUGGAUCUCUCUAAUACUUUGAUUGAAAAUUUGCCUACAUCAAUAUGUACUUUGUACAAUUUACAAACAUUGAUAUUGUCAAGGUGUUUGAAUCUGUAUGAAUUGCCUUCAGGAUUCGAAAUUUGAUUAAUUUGCGUUAUCUUGACAUUGAUCAUACCCCACUAAGAGAGAUGCCAAGUCAUAUUGGCCAUUUAAAAUGUUUGCAAAACUUGAGUAAUUUCAUUGUGGGGCAAAAGAGCGGGCCGGGGAUUGGAGAAUUGAAGGAACUUUCAGAUAUGAAGGGAACACUUACAAUUUCACGGUUGCAGAAUGUGAAAUGUGGCAGGGAUGCAAGAGAAGCCAAUUUGAAGGACAAGAUGUACAUGGAGAAGUUAGUGUUGGCUUGGGAUUGGAGAGCAUGUGAUAUUAUACAAGAUGGAGACAUAAUUGAUAAUCUUCGGCCACAUACAAACCUAAAGAGACUCUCUAUUAAUUGUUUUGGUGGUUCGAGAUUUCCGACAUGGGUAGCAAAUCCUUUAUUCUCUAAUCUCCAGACCCUAGCGCUUUGGGAUUGUGAAAAUUGCUUAUCAUUGCCACCACUUGGGCAGCUACCCUCUCUUGAACACUUACGGAUCUCAGGAAUGAAUGGAAUAGAGAGGGUGGGCAGUGAGUUUUAUCAUUAUGGGAAUGCUUCUUCCUCCAUUGCAGUUAAGCCUUCCUUCCCAUCCUUACAAACUCUAACAUUUGAGUGGAUGCACAAUUGGGAGAAAUGGUUGUGUUGUGGAUGCAGACGUGGAGAAUUCCCUCGUCUCCAGGAGCUUUAUAUGCGGCACUGUCCCAAACUCACUGGGAAAUUACCAAAACAGCUUCGAUCCUUGAAGAAACUUGAAAUUGCUGGAUGUCCACAGCUGCUUGUGGCUUCACUCAGAGUUCCUGCAAUCAGUGACUUGUGGAUGGGCAAUUUUGGUAAAUUGCAGUUGAAAAGGCCAUCUAGUGGCUUCACUGCUCUUCAAACCUCACACGUUAAAAUUUCAAACAUCUCUCAGUGGAAGCAACUACCAGUGGGAGUGCAUAGCCUCUCAAUUACAGAAUGUGAUUCUGUGGAGACUCUAAUAGAAGAGGAACCGCUCCAGAGCAAAACUUGUCUUCUCAAAAAAUUGGAAAUCACAAAUUGUUGUUUGUCUAGAUCCUUGCGCAGAGUUGGUUUACCCACUAAUGCAUUGGAAUUACUAAACAUCUCUCACUGUUCCAAGCUAGAGUUUCUCCUACCUGUGUUGUUGAGAUGCCACCACCCUUUCCUCGAAAAUAUAUACAUCAGAGAUAACACCUAUGAUUCUCUUUCAUUAUCCUUCUCCUUAAGCAUCUUCCCAAGAUUGCGUUGUUUUGAAAUCAGUAAGCUUCAGGGGGUUGAAUUCCUCUAUAUCUCCAUUUCAGAGGGGGAUCUCACAUCUCUUAAUUCUUUGAAUAUCUCACGGUGCCCUGAUGUUGUAUAUAUUGAAUUGUCGACUCUCGACCUAGCAAGUUAUGAGAUCUCCGGAUGCUUGAAGCUCAAGUUAUUGAAGCACACCCUCUCAACUUUGCGGUGUUUGAGGUUAUUUCAUUGUCCAGAAUUGUUGUUUCAGAGGGAUGGCUUGCCCUCCAACCUACGUGAACUUGAAAUUUCAUCCUGCGACCAACUCACAUCUCAGGUGGACUGGGGUUUGCAAAGAUUGGCCUCUCUUACAAGAUUCAAUAUCAGGGGUGGAUGCCAAGAGGUUCAUUCUCUUCCCUGGGAGUGCCUACUGCCCUCCACAAUUACCACUCUCAGAAUUGAAGGACUUCGAAACCUCAAGUCUCUAGACAGUAAGGGGCUUCAACAACUUACCUCUCUCUCAAACUUAUACAUUGGCGACUGCCCUGAGUUCCAAUCCUUUGGAGAAGAGGGGCUUCAACAUCUCACCUCCCUUAAAACAUUAUCCAUUAGCUGCUGCCCUGAGCUCAAAUCUUUAACAGAAGCAGGUCUUCAACACCUUAGCUCACUUGAAAAAUUGCUGAUCUUCGACUGCCCGAAGCUCCAAUACCUGACGAAAGAGAGACUGCCAAACUCCCUCUCUUCUCUGGUUGUUUACAAAUGCUCUUUGCUGGAAGGUCGCUGCCAAUUUGGGAAAGGCCAAGAUUGGCAGUAUGUAGCUCACAUUCCACACAUAAUCAUCAACGAUGUGUUAUACUGAUGAAGAUGGAAAUAUAUCAAUGUCAAUCAGGUACUUGUUCCAUACUCAAAAUAACUUCCUUUAAAAUAAAAAAUGAUGUGGCAAUUAUUAAGUUUAUGCUUCAAAAUUUCUUAUCAUCUCUAUAGUGCUUCCUUGUUCUCUAUAAGGUUUGGUUGAUUUGGCUAUGGUCAUAAAGGCAUGGUGCCAAGCAGCUCUCAGGAUAUUCUAAGUGACUUGGUCUUCUUGAGCCUCAAUCAUGAUUUAUGGUUAGUGAAAUAUUUUAAUUCUCUUUGAUCCUUUGUCAUGAUCUAUUAUGGAUUUGUACUUGUAGAGACUUCAUUUUCGACUUCCCGAUGGACCAACAGUGGAGACCUCACAAGUUUUUCUUAAUCAUGACUGCAUCAUUUUGUAGGUUCUCGUUUGGCUAAUACUUUCCAAUAGUUAAAGCAUUUGUGCAGUGAUGUAUAUCAUGCUUUAUGUCAAUUUACAAAAAAAUUGUUAUAAGGGAUCUUCCAGAUGGAAGGUGGAGUGAGGAAGAUGUCGUUGUUUUAGUGCCCCGACUCAUUGUUCUUAUUGAACGCAAAGUAUCUUAAUGGUACUGCCUGCUCAAAUUUUACUGAGAUUGCUCUGUUUUUGUUGGGCAAUCUGCACCUACUGGAGACAGUAUUCACUAUGGUUCUACUUGUAAGCGGGGAGAGAUCACCUGAAUGAUAGUUGAUACCACACCACCAAUUAGCCACUGUCAAAAGGCAAGGAUAUGGGAAUGCAUCUUCUUUGUUAUGUACUUAGCAGGACUUAUUUCUUUUCUUUGUUUUUUUUUGCCUAAUUUUGAUCUCAUACAGUUCUUGUUUGGUGUUUCUUAGGUCUUGGCUAUGAUCAGAAAUUUCCAUGUACACUAUGUAGCACACCCCACUUUUCAGGACCAGGAGGUCCAUUCAAGCUCUCAUUGUUCAUCUCAGGAGAGUCAGAUGUUUGUUUGAAAAGAAAAAUACCAAAGUUCAGGUGAAGGUCUAUACAUUUGAGAUUCCCAUGAAGAAUGUUGUAAUUCGAUCUAUUCAAUUUUGAGAGCUUUUGUAGUUCUGUUUGCCAUUUUGAUGUUGGUACCAUUUGAUGAGGGCGGUAGACUAUAACUCCCCCAUUCAACCUUCCAAAUUUUGUAUAGGAAAGAUGAUGUUGUAUUGACCUUAUUCACUUCUUCAUGCAAUGAAAAUUCUCCUCUCUUCAAUACUCCCAAGUCUGCUCAAGUUUUUACCUUUUCACAUUAAUGAUAUUCAUACCUGCUUUAGAGUGCGUUUGACAGUAAUUUUAGAAAAUAUUUCUAUCAUUUCUAAUACUUGAAAAAUUUUAUUUUUCAAGUAUUAGAAAUAUUAUAAACACUUCCUAGAAUCAUUGUUAAACGCAUUCUUAAUUACUAGCCGCUGACAAUCAAGCUUCAUUUAUGGGAAGACAAAAAAUGAAGGAAACUGAAUCAUAGUAGAAAAGAAACAUUUAGUUCCAACAUCAAUACUAUUAAUUUACAUCAUCCCUCUAUCCCUAUCUAUGAAAGAAUUCUUCAUAUGAAUACAUCCUUCCAUCUAAGGACCCAUGAUUGUAGUUAAAAGACACUCAUACAACACCCACUACUAUGUAGAGGAGUGCAUUGGUGAUACUACUUUGAGAUUUGAUAUUUGAAAACUUUGAGAUUGUAAUAAAUAACAAUAAAAGAAAUAAUGCAUAAAAGUAAAUAGGAAAGCUAGAGAUAAAGAGAAUUCAAACUCAAGAUCUUUAUAGUACAUAACCUUACGUAUAUCCGUUCUGCUCAAGUUCCAAUUGGGAUGAAGGUUCCACUAAUCCAAAACUUUUUAAAGCUCAAGCCUUCAAACUUUAUAUAUUUGGAUUAUGGUUCUAAGGAACUCUCUAUAGCAAAAUUUUUAAAAACAAAGUCUCCAAACUUUUCCUUCUAAAUUAUGGUUCCAAAGUACCAUCUCAAGAGAUAUCCCGCUCUUGAGCUAUUCAAGCAAUCCUACACUUGUUAAUCUUCGUAGGACUAACAAUUGAAAGAAGAUUAAUCUUUGUAUUAUACAAUUUUGAUUCAAAUAAAUACAAAGGAAGCAAUGAUAUCAAAGUGCAUCAAAUGGAUAAGUAAGAUUAUGAAUCAAGAUGCACUAAAAACCAUUAUCCCAAUGGAUAAUAAUCAAAAUUUGGUUCUUAGAGAAUUAAUAAUGAGAGUUAAAAGGUCUUUAUACAUGUAUUGUGAGUAAACUAGACAUUAGAGAUAAUUAAAGAAAUCUUAAAGUUUCGAGCAAUCACGAACUUUUUGUGUUUUUUGUUUCCCCUCACGUGUAUGUCCUCAAAUCUACGUAUACCAUUCUAUUAUUCAAAACAAAUUUUCAUAUUUCAUUUUUUUCUUAGAAGAAAAAUACUUAGUUUCUAGUUGUCUAAUAUAAGGACAUUUUGAUAUUUUUCACUUUUCAAUUUAUUGUCGUUUUUAUAUUUCUUUUUUGAGCUUGAGAUCAACAUGAAUAUCUUAAUUUUGACUUUUAACUUAUUUUAAACUAUUCUUUAAUAAUUUUUUGUCCAUAGUUUUUUACUGUACAUUAAAAUAGUGAAGAAGUUUGUAUUCCAAUUUUAUAAUAUGUAGCAACUGUGCAAAACACAUUAAAUCUACUAGCAUAGUGAAAGUGUUGAAGUAUUUUCACAUGGACAAAUCAAUUUUAUGAAUAAACUUAAUUUACAAGUAGUUAUUCAAUCACUUGAAAUAAUAAAGAGUUCAUACUACAAGGAAAAAGUUCAAUUGAAAUAAUAAAGAACCCCUAGGUUAAGAAGCUCCAUAUUUUACUACAAUUAAUAAACUUAUGGAUCAUAUAACUUGUAUAUAUAUUUUUUUGUUUUAAUUAUUUGCUAUUUUCUUUUGACAUCGGAGAUGAAUUUAUUAUUUAAUAGAAAGUUUGUUUCCCAUGGGAGAAUUUAUUGAAAUUUGAAUAAUUUUAAAAUUAUAGUAUUUUUUUAAUUUUAAAUAGAACUCGUGAUUUAAAAAGACGAAUUCAAUGUAAAAGUGAACUCAUAUGUUAAAAAGAUGAGCUCAUAUUUUUUACAUUUUCAAUAUAAAAAGUUUUAAAAUAAAAAAUAUACAAAAAGUGAAUUCGUCUUUUUAAAAGACAAGUUCAAUAUAAAAGAAGAAUUCGUCUCUUAAGAAAACGAGUUUAGUGUAAAAAUAAAAAUAAAAAGUAAUAAAAAGUGUCGUAUUUUUGUAUUUAUUUAUUUUUAAAAAAAAAUCCCUGAAAUUUGUUACCCGAAGUGCCACGUGACAAAUCGGAUGAAAAAGAGCCACGUCACCGCUAUUAGUUGCUCACGUGCCACUCCAUAUCGGACACUUCCUCACGUGCGAAUCCUCUCAGAAAUUCAGAAUCCAUCUUCCCUGGUAAGUUAUUGAGUUAAUUUAGGCUUUAGUAUAUGAAUUAUAGCUUAAGGGCAUCCUCAAUUAUUCCAAUUUUGGUUAAUUUUCUCAAUAUUGGAGGCUCUUUCGUUUGUCGCUUCUAUUUGAGAUUUUGAAUCACUUGCGUGUGUUUGGUUGCGGAGAAAGUGUAGGAAAAAAAUAUAAAGUCAAAAUAAUAUAGAGUAUCCUGCCUUUUAUUAGGUAGUGGUCCUCAUGGAAUAGCUAGGUGAGGGUUUGAUCAAUAUAUUUUGCACAGCGUAUCUCAUUAUGGAUGAAAUUUCUUAAGCAGUGUGGGUUUGGGGUUGAAAUACUAGGUAUUUAUCUCCAAUUAAUACAAAUUUAUUACUUAUUCGAUUUCAAGUUGAAAUGCUGUUGGUCACCUUCUUGAACAAUAAAUUGGAACAAUGCAGAAAAACUUCUUUUCUCAGAUCUGUGAGUAAUAAUUAGAGCAAGAGAAACAGCUUCUCUCUCGCCCCUGCUGCCAUUGCCCCUAAUUAUAUUUCUCUUUCUUUUUCUUUUCUUUUUAUUUGUGUUUGGAUUUGGAUUUUAUAGCCUGAAACUCUCUCAUUUGUGGGUACGCCAAUUUCUGUCUUAUCUUCUUCAUUGUUUUCUCUUAAAUUUAUGUUCUUUUGAUCAAUUAGUUUGUUCUUUUGACUUGAAUUUGAUUGAUUUUAUUUGGGUUUCUUUUGAAUGGGAGCUUUGACUAUUCUGAAUUUUGUUUCUUAAUGUGAGUUUUGUCUGAGUGUUGGACUGUGCAAGUCGUUUGAUGAUACAUUCAAAUUGUACCGAAUCAGUUUGAUGAAAAACCCACAAAUUGUUGAUGGAAAACUGUGUUAUGGAGUCUUGUAUCCUUCCGUUUCAUUUUUUCACCCAAACAGGUGAAUUUCUCAUCCUUGGAUUCUAAAUCCAAAUCCGUGUUUGUGGACAAUGACCUUACAAUCAGAAAUAAGCAAAUGUGCAUGUAAACUUGCCCCUUCAUUCAUCUGCCUAUUUGUCAGGUUGUGAAACCUGAGUAGGAGAUCAUUUCUGGAACUCAUCGAUGAGUUGGGAAGUGGGUUGAGUUGUGGUUCGCUGUUUGUGGGUUCGACCAUUCUGUCUAUAUCUGUUCCUGCAUUGCUCUAGUUUAACACUAACCUUAAAGAUUUCAUGGAGACAAUGAGCGACAAAUAAUUUUCAAUAGUGUUUUGUCUCUCUAAAAUUUCAAAAGAUUUGACGUUCCAUUUGUCCAGGUACUGAAUUUAUUACAUGCUCAUACAUCAAGCUUAGACAAUGAUUGUAGAGGAUCUUGGAAUUGAAGCCAAGGAAGCGGCGGUUCGUGAGGUUGCCAAACUUUUGCCACUACCUGAACUUUUGCAGUCAAUUUCGUCAAUCAAGGCUGAUUACAUUACGCGCCAACAGGUGAUGCUUCUUUGUCCAAUUUAAUAGUCAAAAUUUCUAUUUCAAUUUGGGUUAGUUUCAAUCACAUAUGUAGGUGAGUACGUGUGUGUGUGUGUGUGUGUGUGUGUGUGCACACCUAUCCACACACAUGCAAAAUUUUGAAGUUAUGCAGGUGUUGCGUUAAGAUUAUACUGAUUGAACAAGAGAAAUUUUUGGUUUUGGGUGACUGGAAUGAGCAAUCAUCUUGGAACUCUCUAGAUACAUGGAAAUUGAAGUGUGAGAUCAGGUUGAAUGAGUUGCUAGCUUGUUUUAUUUAUGAAAGUUGAGUUCAUGUGCUAGGAAUCAGAUCUCUCAAGUUUUGCUUUCUUGGGGCUACUUCACUCUGUUUCUGAAGUGAAAGAUUUUAAGAUGCUCCCCAACAAGGAGGAGUCCAAUUAGGCUUGUAAGAGGAUUUAAAACUAGUAUGGAACUCAACUAUUCUUAGCAUCCGAUCAAUAGAGUGCUCCAUCAAUUGACAUGUAGAAUCUUUAUUGACAAUUGAUUGAGAAAGAAAAGCCUUAGAGCUAAAUUUAUGAAGGGGCUCAAUCUAUCAAUUCUCAAAUAUACUCCUAGCAUGUGUGGAGAUCCAAUUCCCUAUGCAAUGAGUUAGGGCAUUUAAAAGAUUGGUGGGGAACUAAAAACUAUCCAAGUCCUAUGUUUUCUAGGUCACUUGGUAUAGCCAAAAAAGUGUGUUGACUGAUCCUGAUGGUCUUCAAUGAUGCGUUCAAGGAUUGAGUUCAGAGCAUGCUGGAUCACAUUGGACAUCUGAGGGAACUCUGACUAACCUAACUAGAUCUUUUAAUGGAUCAUAAAAAUGCUAAAUUCCUAAUAUUUCUUAUAUUAAAUUUAUGUAAAACCUUCAAGUUGCCUUCUGAAUGUUGCUAUAUUUUUUUAAUGUCAGGCAAAUGAUGCACAACUUAGUAUGAUGGUUGCAGAGCAGGUAUACAGAAACUUCUAUUCUAAGCUUCAGGGAAAUUAUUAUGUUGUUAUUAAUGUUAUGUGGUUACUAUUAAGUCUCUUAUGUUCUUCACUUUUUUUAUGAGUCUAUGGAGCUGAAGAAUCCCAGGCACUUUAAUUUUACUACCAUAUUGAUGUGUUCUAUUGAAACAACACUCUUAAAUUCAGGUUGAACAGGUACAGGCUGGGUUGGAAUCAAUUUCCUCAUCUCAAAAGACAAUAAACCAGCUUCGUGAGAACUUUCUCUCUAUUGAGAGGUAUGUUCUGCUUAUGAUUUUCCUAGAAAAUUCUUGUUGUUUUCUAUAUGUGCAGUUAUUAGGCUUCAACUCAGUAUUAAAGCAUUCAACUUUAAGGACUAAUGUGUUUACUUGCUUUUGCCUCAGGCUAUGUCAAGAGUGCCAAAACUUAAUUGAAAAUCAUGACCAAAUAAAGCUCCUUAGCAAUGUGAGAAAUAACUUAAAUACCACACUGAAGGUGAAUGCAAUGUCUGACCUUUGUUUUCAUCAACUUUUUCUUUAUCAUGAUAUGUUUCUUGCAUACACACACACAAACAUACAUAAGUUCUUGUCUCUCUAUAUCUAUGCACAUGUUAUUGUUCAGCUGCAGCUUGCAGUCUACUAAAUAAUGUUAUCUUUUUUCUUUCUUUUUGUCUGUGUGUCGUUGUUUUCCCCCCUUUUCUUUUCCACCUAUCCAAGGCAACAGAACAAAUGUGGCAUCCUAAAAUGCUGCCAGAAGCUAUGAGCCCAAUGACCAUUAAUGUGGGGCAGAAGAGCUUUUAUCGAAGUCAUUUUUUCAAAAUUCAGUUAGGAAAAAGGAGACACUUUGUAAUGCAUGACCUUAUUCAUGACUUGGCUCAACUGGUGUCUGGAGAAUUUUUUAUGUAUGCCAAAUCUCAGAAAAGACACGUCAUUUAUCAUAUUUUCCUAGAAAAUAUAAUACAUUUGAUAGAUAUGGAACACUUUCUGAAUUUAAGUGUUUGCGAACAUUUUUAUCAUUGGAGGUUUACGGGAUUGGCUACUUAAGUAAUAGAGUUCUACACAAUCUAUUAUCAGAAAUUAGAUGCUUGCGGGUGUUGUGUUUGCAUAACUAUAGGAUUGUUUAUUUGCCCAAUUCAAUUGGCAAGUUACAACAUUUGUGCUACUUGGAUCUCUAUAAUGCUUUGCUUGAAAAAUUGCCUACAUCAAUAUGUACUUUGUACAAUUUACAAACAUUGAUAUUGUCAAGGUGUUCGAAUCUGUAUGAAUUGCCUUCAAGAAUCGAAAAUUUGAUUAAUUUGCGUUAUCUUGACAUUCUUGGUACCCCACUAAGAGGGAUGCCAAGUCAUAUUGGCCAUUUAAAAUGUUUGCAAAACUUGAGUUAUUUCAUUGUGGGGCAAAAGAACAGGUCGGGGAUUGGAGAAUUGAAGUAACUUUCAGAUAUAAAGGGAACACUUAGAAUUUCAAAGUUGCAGAAUGUGAAAUGUGGCAGGGAUGCAAGAGAAGCCAAUUUGAAGGACAAGAUGUACAUGGAGGAGUUAGUGUUGGAUUGGGAUUGGGAAGCAAGUGAUAUUAUACAAGAUGGAGACAUAAUUGAUAAUCUUCGGCCACAUACAAACCUAAAGAGACUCUCUGUUAAUCUUUUUGGUGGUUCGAGAUUUCCGACAUGGAUAGCAAAUCCUUUAUUCUCUAAUCUCCAGACCCUAAAGCUUUGGAAAUGUAAAAAUUGCUUAUCAAUACCACCACUUGGGCAGCUACCCUCUCUUGAACACUUACGGAUCUCAGGAAUGAAUGGAAUAGAGAGGGUGGGCAGUGAGUUUUAUCAUUAUGGGAAUGCUUCUUCUUCCAUUUCUGUUAAGCCUUCCUUCCCAUCCUUACAAAACAUUUGAGUGGAUGGACAAUUGGAAGAAAUGGUUGUGUUGUGGAUGCAGACGUGGAGAAUUCCCUCGUCUCCAGGAGCUUUAUAUGCGGCACUGUCCCAAACUCACUGGGAAAUUACCAAAACAGCUUCGAUCCUUGAAGAAACUUGAAAUUGUUGGAUGUCCGCAGCUGCUUGUGCCUUCACUCAAAGUCCCUGCAAUCAGUAAAUUGACGAUGGUCGAUUGUGGUAAAUUUUAGUUGAAAAGGCCAGAUAGUGGCUUCAUUGCUCUUCAAACCUCACUCGUUAAAAUUUCAAACAUCUCUCAGUGGAAGCAGCUACCAGUGGGAGUGCAUAGCCUCUCAAUUACAGAAUGUGAUUCUGUGGAGACUCUAAUAGAAGAGGAACCGCUCCAGAGCAAAACUUGUGUUCUCAAAGAUUUGCAAAUCACAAAUUGUUGUUUGUCUAGAUCCUUGCGCAGAGUUGGUUUACCCACUAAUGCAUUGGAAUCACUAGAAAUCUCUCACUGUUCCAAGCUAGAGUUUCUCCUACCUGUGUUGUUGAGAUGCCACCACCCUUUCCUUAAAUAUAUACUGAUCGGAGAUAGCACUUGUGAUUUUCUCUCAUUAUCCUUCUCCUUAAGCUUCUUCCCAAGGUUGAACCAAUUUGAAAUCUAUAAUCUUGAAGGGCUUGAAUUCCUCUCAAUUUUGAGUUCAGUGGGGGAUCCCACAUCUCUUAAUUAUUUGGAUAUCCAAGAGUGCCCUGAUAUUGUAUAUAUUGAAUUGCCGGCUCUCGACUGAGCAACUUAUGUGAUCUCCAGAUGCUUGAAGCUCAAGUUAUUGAAGCACACCCUCUCAACUUUGGAGAGUUUGAAUUUAAGAGGUUGCCCAGAAUUGUUGUUCCAGAGAGAUGGUUUGCCCUCCAACCUACGUGAACUUCUCAUUUCAUCCUGCAACCUACUCACAUCUCAGGUGGACUGGGUUUGCAAAGACUGGCCUCUCUUACAAUGUUCACAAUCAAAGGUGGAUGCCAAGACAUGGAAUCAUUCCCCGAUGAGUGCCUAUUGCCCUCCACAAUUACCACUCUCAGAAUUAAACGACUUCCAAACCUCAGGUCUCUGGACAGUAAGGGGCUUCAACAACUUACCUCCCUCUCAGACUUAGACAUCGGCAAAUGCCCUGAGUUCCAAUCCUUUGGAGAAGAGGGGCUUCAACAUCCACCUCCCUCACAACAUUAUCCAUUAGCAAUUGUUCUAAGCUCCGAUCCCUUGGAGAAGAGAGGCUUCAACAUCUCACCUCCCUCAAAUCAUUAUCCAUUAGUGGCUGCCAUGAGCUCGAAUCUUUAACAGAAGCAGGUCUUCAACGCCUUAUCUCACUUGAAAAUUUGCAGAUCUCCGAUUGCCCGAAGCUCCAAUACUUGACAAAAGAGAGGCUGCCAAACUCCCUCUCUCAUCUGUCUGUUGACAAAUGUUCUUUGCUGGAACGUUGCUGCCAAUUUGGUAAAGGCCAAGAUUGGCAGCAUAUAGCUCACAUUCCACACAUAAUCAUCAACGAUGAGUUAUACUGAUGAAGAUGGAAAUUUAUCAUUGUCAAUCAGUUACUUGUUCCAUACUCAAAAUAACUUCCUUUAAAAAAAAUAAAAAUGAUGUGGUUAUUAUUAAGUCUAGGCUUCAAAAUUUCUUAUCAUCUCUAUUGUACUUGCUGGCUCUGUGAGGUUUGAUUGAUUUGCCUAUGGUCAUAAAGGCAUGGUGCCAAGCAGCUCUCCGGGUGUUCUAAGUGACUUGCUCUUCUUGAGCCUCAAUCAUGAUUUAUGGUUAGUGAGAUAUUUUAUUUGCUUUGAUUCUUUCUCAUGACCGAUUAUGGAUUUGUACUGGUUGGUUUCUUUCAGAUGUUCCAUCAGUGGAGACCUCACUUAACAAUUAAUCUGCAAAUUACAAGUUUCUCUUAAUCAUGACUGCAUCAUUUUGUAGGUUCUAUAAGGUUGGCAUGUAUAAAGGAACAGGUAUGUUUCAUUUGGCUAAUGCUUUUUAAUAGCUAACGCAUUCAUGCAGUGAUGUAUGUCGUGUUCUAUGUCAAUUCACAAUAAAAUUGUUGUAAGGGUUCUUCCAGAUGGAACGUGGAGUGGAGAAGAUGAUGAAGUUUUAGUGCCUGUAGGCAUUAUUCUUAUUGAACACAGAGAAACUAUUCUGCUGAUACUGUAUCCUUGACAAAAACUGAUCAGGUGGCUCUGCUGUUACCAUGGAUUGACAUGCUACUUAAUGGCACGGCCUGGUCAAAUUUUAAUGAGACUACUCUGUUUUGGUUGGACAGUCUCCACUUACCAGAGAUGGUUCGCUGCGUUCUACUUGCAAACAGGGAGAGAUCACCUUAUUGAUAGUUGAUACCACACCACCAAUUAGCCACCGUGAAAAGGCAAGGAUAUGGGAAUACAUCAUCUUAGGUCUUGGCUAUGAUCAGAAAUUUCCAUGUACGGUAUGUUGCUGUUGAAAUUUCCAAGCCACACUUUUUAGGACCAUGAGGCCCAUUCAGGCUCUCAUUGUUUAUCUCAGGAGAUUCAGAUGUUUGUUUGAAAAGAAAAAUACCAAAGUUCAAGUGAAGGUUUAUACAUUUGAGAUUCCCAUGAAGAAUGUUGGUACUAUUUGAAGAGGGUGGUAGACUACCACUCCCUCAUUCAAGCUUCCAAAUUUUGUAUAGGAAAGAUGAUGUUGUAUUGACCUUCUUCACUUCUUCACUUCUUCAUGCAAUGAAAAUUUACUUCUCUUCUAUAUAUGCCCACACUCUGCUCAGGUUUUUACUUGCAUUAAUGAUACUACUCGGUCACCUUAUUGAUCCCCACAUCAACCAUUAGGCCAUUUUCAAUGGGCACACCUUCUGUUGUUUAGGUCAAAAUCUAAUGUCUGCAGUACGCUUGAUCAUGUUUGUAAAUUAGUAGUUUGAUGUCUAUGUUAAAUUUUCAAAGGAUUUAGAAUGUAUAAAUCAAACGAUUGAGAUUUUUUAAAUAUAUUCAAGAUUAAGUUACAAGGAUCAUUGUUGAAGGCGGUCACAAAUUCUCUUUUGAAUUAAUUUAUAAGUCAUCGAUAUUUUUUUCAUUACGAUAUAUUCAUGGAAUAGAAUUUCUUAUAAUUAUAAAGGUUGAAAUAUCCUAUUGCUAUAUUUUCUUUUAAGCUAUAUUUAUUUCUCCAAAAAAAAUUGAAGGAAAAUGUAAGGGAAAGAAAAAGUGAAAAAAAAAUGAUUUAAAAUUAAUAAAUUAUUCUUAUAUAUUUUUUCAAAUUCAUUUCACUUAUUUUUCUUUAUUAUAUAAAGAUUAAAUAAUUUAAAAAUAUAUAAAUUUUAAAGUAAUUUUAAUAAUUUUUUUUUUUUCAUAUUUUUAUGGUAAAACUAAAUAUAUAUAAGAAAAUCAUUUUUUUUUUAAACAUUUUCUUCUUUCGAUUAGACUUUAAGAAAAUGUAUCUUUGAUAAUUAUGAAAGUAGUUUACCGUAGUACUCUGUUUGGAGUAGUUGGUAUCAUCAAUUUCUAACAUUAAAAAAAUUAAGAAAAAAAUAUUUGUUGUUUUUGCAAAUGGAUUGCUAUAGAAUACAAUACUUGAUACAUACACACCAUCGUCCUUUAACUUCUAUUAGAAAUAACCCGAGUAAGCUUUUCUUCACCAUGUGUGGGCACUGCUGCAGGAGCCGCUUAAAGCUUAGGGACCAAGGCCCUAGCCACAACCAUACUUUUUUAAAAUUUUUUUAAAAUCCAAACUUUUAAACUCUUUAUACUUGGAUUAUGGUUUUAAGAUACCUUCUAUAAUGAAACUUUUAAAGACAGUUUCCAAAUUUUUCUCUAUGAAUUAUGGUUCCAAAAUACCCUUUCAAGAAAUACCCGACUCUUGAACCACGUGCCCAAGUGAUCCCACACUUGUCAAUCCUCAUAAGAUUUAUGAUUGAAAGAAGAUUAAUCUUUGUGUACAAUUUUGAUUCAAAUAAAUACAACAUCAUGGUGGAUAAGUAAGAUUAUGAAUCAAGGAGCACUAAAAAAAAACUCCCUACAACCAAUGGAUAAUAAUUAAUGUUAGGUUCUUGGAGAGUCAACAAUGAGAAUUAAAUGGCCUUUAUAUAUGUAUUGAAAGUAAACUAGUGAUCAUUAGAGAUAAAAACCCUGAAGUCCCAAUCGAGCAGCAACUAGUCAUUACUCAUAAGCCUAUGUUACCGUUGAAAGGUCUUUAUACAUGUAGUGGAAAUUAACAUUGUAAGGCCCUAUGUUAAUUGAUCAAUUAUUUGAUUGAAUCAGAAAGGUCAUCAUAAUUUUAUGUGUAAGCUAGAAGGGGCAUAUUGAAAGACCUCUCAUGGGCAAUUUGGUCAACGACCUGAUCAAUCGCUCAUUAACACUCCAUUGUCCUUUAGCUUCCAGUUAGUGAAAAUUUAGUAACACUAUACUUAAUGUAGUUUUAUUUCAUACCUUUUUAGAACUCUUUUAAGCUUGAAAUAAAUAAAUCAAACGUGGUUUCAAAGAGAAAAUACUUCAUCCAACUUCUAAAAAGAUUUAUUACAAUUUGAUUUUAAUUGGAUGAAAUUUGGUGAUAGCUACUUUAAUAAAAAUACGCACACAAUCAUAAUUUAGUGCACCAACAAUCUUACAAUGUAGUAUCUUAAACCUGAAUUUCAUAAACUUUUUCCUUUUAAACCCAUUUUGAUCCACUUUAAUCUUAAUGAUAUUUUCUUCUUGAUUAUAACUCAAAGGAAGUCUUCUUGUUAUAGAUAAUCUCCUUCUACAAUUGCACUUUCUCUUGUUUCUUGGAGAUGGAAAAUACACUUGAGUUUUAGCAUAUGGCUAACAAAAUUAAAAUCAUUUUUAUAAUAAUUUUAUAAUAAUUAAAGUUACUUCUAAUAAUUAAAAUCAUUUUUAAAAACCUAGAAAAAUAUUCCUUGAUAGAUAAUUUUCAAAUAAUUGUACUAAUUAAUUAUGGUGAAAAUCUUGUCAAAAUUAGUAAAUGAUCUCAUAAUCUCAACUAAUUUUAUGUAACUUUAUGGCUGACAAAACUAUAUAAUAAGCAUACAUAACCUUCAUAUUACCAUGUAAGUAUUUAUUUAUAUUGCAACAUUUUAUCAAAAAUUGAUUGAGUGUGAAAAUAAAUAAAAUGAUAACUCAAUUCAUUGAAAUGAAAUAUCAAAAUUCGUAGGAAAAAAACAUCCCUCAACUAUUAUUGAAUCCUUUAUUCAUUUAUUUAUUCAUUGUUUUUUUUGUUUUGUUUUUUGUUUUUGUUUUUGCCUUUUGUUUUUGUUUUUGUUUUUGUUUUUUCUGUUUUUUUUUUUUUUUUUUUGUGCCUUGUACAUAUUUAAUUAUUAAAAAUUUUAAAAAAAAUUUAUAAAAUAUUUCUCCCACAAAAAGGAGUUUAUGAAAGUGUUGAAAUAUGACAAUGAUCAGUAAUAUUAAAUUUGAAAAUCGUCACAACAAAAUUUCACCUACUCAAGAUAUUUGGAAAUGAAAUAAAAAAACUCUUCUAAAUUUAAAAGAUCAUUUAAUUAGGUGCUAAUGGCCAAUAAGUCUUCUAAACGGAAGUAAAUUGUAAGCUUAAUUAAAUAAGUUUUUUGGCCCUUCUUGUGGCCGGCCAUGUCCAUGCUCCUUUUCAAGCCGGCCUCCUUUGUUUUGUGUGGUUUGUCAUUUGUGAACAAUGUCAGACCUGAGGCCUUCCAUCGUCUCGAAUAAUUUAACCAGGUCUGACCCAACUUCGCUACCAAGAAACAUUGCAUUUUCUCAAUACAAACCAAUCUUUUCCAGUUUGGUGGUUUGAUUUUGGAUCGCUUGCCUUCGUUUUUCCUUGAUUCAUCACUCACUUUUCUCUACAAACGAACAGAUAUGGCUGGGGCUUUAGUUGGAGGAGCUUUCUUCUCGGCUUCUCUUCAAGUUCUAUUUGACAGGUUGGCUUCUCGCGAGGUUGUGAGCUUCAUCCAGGGGCGGAAGCUCAGCGAUGCGCUCCUGAAGAAGUUGGAAAGGAAGUUGCUGGUAGUCCAUGCAGUGCUCAACGAUGCUGAGGUCAAACAAUUUACAGAUCCAUAUGUGAAGAAGUGGCUGGUCUUGCUUAAAGAGACUGUGUAUGAUGCGGAGGACAUACUGGAUGAGAUCGCCACAGAGGCUUUGCGACACAAGAUGGAAGCUGCAGAGUCCCAAACCAGCACGAGUCAGGUGGGUAACAUCAUGGACAUGUGUACCUGGGUUCAUGCCCCAUUUGACAGUCAGAGCAUAGAGUCGAGGGUGGAGGAGAUCAUUGAUAGACUUGAAGAUAUGGCACGAGACAGAGCCGUCCUUGGGUUGAAAGAAGGUGUUGGCGAGAAACUGUCACAAAGGUGGCCUUC